GACGAACGCUGGCGGCGCGCUUAACACAUGCCAGUCGAACGGAAAGGCCUGCUUUCCCUUGUGGAUUGCGGGUACUCGAGUGGCGAACGGGUGAGUAACACGUGAGUGAUCUGCCCCCAACUUGGGUAUAAGCCUGGGAAACUGGGUCUAAUUCCCGAUAGGACUGCAGGGUGGUGCCUGUGGUGGAAAACGAUUUUCUAGUGGUUGGGGAUGAGCUCGCGGCCUAUCAGCUUGUUGGUGGGGUAAUGGCCUACCAAGGCGGCGACGGGUAGCCGGCCUGAGAGGGUGGACGGCCACAUUGGGACUGAGAUACGGCCCAGACUCCUACGGGAGGCAGCAGUGGGGAAUAUGGCACAAGGGGCGGAAGCCUGAUGCAGCGACGCCGCGUGGGGGAUGACGGCCUUCGGGUUGUAAACUCCUUUCGACCGCGAGGAAGCCACCUGGUUGGAAGGGUGGUGACGGUAGUGGUAGAAGAAGCACCGGCUAACUACGUG
This 494-nucleotide ribosomal RNA is filed under the name uncultured bacterium. RNAcentral describes it as "partial 16S ribosomal RNA". It matches the Rfam family "Bacterial small subunit ribosomal RNA", at positions 28 to 507 of the family's 1533-position model. The record is from RNAcentral.